GAUUAGCUAGUUGGUGAGGUAAAGGCUUACCAAGGCGACGAUCGGUAGCUGGUCUGAGAGGAUGAUCAGCCACACUGGGACUGAGACACGGCCCAGACUCCUACGGGAGGCAGCAGUGGGGAAUUUUGGACAAUGGGCGCAANCCUGAUCCAGCCAUGCCGCGUGAGUGAAGAAGGCCUUCGGGUUGUAAAGCUCUUUCGGCCGGAACGAAAUCGUCCGGGCUAAUACCCGGGAUGGAUGACGGUACCGGAAGAAGAAGCACCGGCUAACUACGUGCCAGCAGCCGCGGUAAUACGUAGGGUGCNAGCGUUAAUCGGAAUUACUGGGCGUAAAGCGUGCGCAGGCGGCUUCGUAAGUCAGAUGUGAAAUCCCCGGGCUUAACCUGGGAACUG
RNAcentral lists this ribosomal RNA (392 nucleotides) under uncultured beta proteobacterium. RNAcentral describes it as "bacterial SSU rRNA". It matches the Rfam family "Bacterial small subunit ribosomal RNA", at positions 239 to 623 of the family's 1533-position model. The record is from RNAcentral. Lineage: Bacteria; Pseudomonadati; Pseudomonadota; Betaproteobacteria.